This 407-nucleotide transfer RNA is filed under the name Potamolinea magna 47PC. RNAcentral's name for it is "16S-23S ribosomal RNA intergenic spacer". The stretch from base 122 to 195 matches the Rfam family "tRNA". Lineage: Bacteria; Bacillati; Cyanobacteriota; Cyanophyceae; Coleofasciculales; Wilmottiaceae. The record is from RNAcentral.
AAGGGAGACCUACUUGCUUCUAGUACCAGAAAAAUCAAACCAGGUAAGAAGACAAGACAUCCCAAGGUCGUGCGAGAAUUGGUGGGAAAAAGCUUUCAAACUAUGAAAUGGUUCGGAAUGGGGGCUAUUAGCUCAGGUGGUUAGAGCGCACCCCUGAUAAGGGUGAGGUCCCUGGUUCGAGUCCAGGAUGGCCCACCUUGAAACAACCAGCAACUUUGAAAACACAACAGCACCGUCUCUUGUUAAAAUAAAACUUGAAGAACAAGAGAGAAUGCUGGAUGUUUUUCCAGUAAUGAACCUUGAAAACUGCAUAGUUAAGAGAAACAACUUGUAGGUAGAACAAUCAAGACGAUGACUACAAAAAAAAGUCGUGUGAUUGUCAAUCCAAAGAAUUAGCGCGAAAAAGU